Long non-coding RNA from Mobula hypostoma (lesser devil ray), 2237 nucleotides. RefSeq lists it as uncharacterized. The record is from RefSeq and is a predicted model, not a curated record. The transcript has 3 exons. Lineage: Eukaryota; Metazoa; Chordata; Chondrichthyes; Myliobatiformes; Myliobatidae.
UCAGUCCUUCCUUGUUCCCUCUCAGCUCCAAGAAUAAGGAGCAACAGCAGGAAAUUUCACCUGCUCCUGGCAUUGAGUAUCUUUAUAAUUUGCCUCCUUACACAGUGAAGCUGAGUUUCAUGUAAUAUUUUUGAUCUUUCAACAGAUCCUUACAGCACAGGGCACUCUGCAACCAGCCCAGUGUGUGCUCCACCUCUUUACAGCUCUCCACCGUCUUGCACGUCUCCAACAGUUUCCCCUCCCGAAAGGCUUACACCUCUAUUGUCACCUCACAGUAACGUCUCAGUACAAACCUCAGCCGCCCCAGACAACCUACAGUCAGUCACGUGCGUCAUUGAAGUCCAAUUGCUUCCUUACACAGGAAGCAGCCAGUCAGAACACAACCAGUAGUCACAGACAGUACUUUACCACAGCCAUAUAACAGCACAGUGCAACCACUUAAGUCAGGCACUCAGAUAGGAAAGGCCCAGACAGCUGUGGAUCUCAUAUGGACAAACUGGAUUAGUGCAGAUGGGCAAAAGGGCCAGCAUUGCACGGCGGCUGAAGAAGUUCGGCAUGAGCCCCCAAAUCCUCAAGACCUGCUACAGGAGCACCAUUGAGAGCAUCCUGACUGGCUCUAUCACCGCCUGGUGCGGGAACUGCACCAACCUUGAUCACUGGGCAUUGCAGACAGUGGUACGGACAGCCCAGCGCAUCUGUGGGUGUGAACUUCCCUCCAUUGAGGACAUUUACAGCAGCAGGUGCAGAAAGAAGGCCUGGAAGAUCAUCAGGGACACCAGUCACCCCAACCAUAAACUGUUUCAAUUGCUUCCAUCUGGCAAACAGUACCGCAGCAUUAAAGCCAGGACCAACAGGCUACUGGACAGCUUCUUUCUACAAGCUAUUAGACUUAUAAAUUCACAUGUCUGUACAUUGCGACAGGGUCAUAACGCAAAGGUUUUUACUAUCUCACAUUGUGGGAUGGAUGUAAGAUUUUAAAUCAAUUCAAUUCAAUUCACUCAUGUGACCAAUUAAGGCACUAACCCGUAUGUCUUUGGAAGGUGGGAGGAAACUGGAGCACCUGGAGGGAACCCUGCCGUCACAAGGAGAAUGUACGAACUCCUCACAGCCAGUGGUGUGAUUGAGUUCGGGUCACUAGUGCUAACUGCUACACCACCAUACCACAUCACAUGUAUCUUGGUACGUGUGACAAUAAUAAACACCCAUAAAGCACUUCCACUUCAGAACCACAGCAAGUCUCAAAGUAUCGCAGGUCUCAGAAUGGCGACAGCACAUAAGAAGGCCGUUCGGCCCAUUAUUGCAUGCACAGAAAGAUGCCCCUUGGCCUAUUGCAUCAUGCCAGCUCCAUGUGAUUGUAACCCUGCUGCUCCUGCUCCACAUUCCCCCUCCUCUCGCCGUGCAAGUCUUUUCUUCCACCACUAUCCCCAGCAACUUCCUGAACCAACUAUUGAACAUACCUCCCCUCCCACUCCCUGUCAGUGCAUUCCCAACACCAGUUCCUUUAGCACACAGGAGAAAAUCUGCAGAUGCUGGAAAUCCAAGCAACACACACAAAAUGCUGGAGAAACUCAGCAGGCCAGGCAGCAUCUAUGGAGAGGAAGAAUCAGUCAACGUUUCCGGCCGAGACCCUCCAUCAGGACUGGAAAGGAAGGGGAGAAAGGUUGGGUGGAGUAGAAGCUGGCAGGUGAUAGGUGAAGCCAGGUGUGGCAGAAGAUGGAUGAGUGGAUGAGGAAUGAUGAAAUGAGAUAGGUGGAAAAGGCAGAGGAUUGAAGAAGGAAUCUUCAUUUAAAUUUGUAUCUUUUCCUGGACUGCUGGCAUCAAUGAACUGUACCUAUAUAUCCUAGAUCCUGUGCCCCAUUUGGAAUUGUGCCCUCUAGUUUAUACUGCCACUUCCUAUUUUCACACCAAAGCAUAACGACUCACGUUUCCGAACAUUAGUUUUCACCAGCACCCUGUCCCCUUAUUUGACCCAACUUUAUUUUCAUUUCUCUGUCCAUCACCUCUUCACAGUUCACAACACUGAGGCUGCUGCAUCAGCAAAUUUCACAAACUGUGCCCUUCACACGCAAUCUACAUGUUUAUGAAAACAGGAGCUUUACUCUACCCAUUCUCUGGUCUGAAAAAACAAGCAUUCACCAGAGGGUUUCCUUUCUUUCUAUUUUCAAUCUGUUUAUUGAUUUUUUAAAAAGUGUGUAUACAAACAGGAGGAGAAUAUCUCUGGGAUAUAUGUCAGUAAC